GCCAUAUUUUAGUUUAGUUAUUUUAUUUUUAAUUUGAGAUGUGUUGAAGUUUUUCAAACUUCUUUUCACAUUUGAGGAUUUUGAAACGGAUGAAGGGUGGAGUUUGACGCUCAAGUUGGAAUAUUGUUUUGUCCUCUAAGAAAUGAAAAGUGACUCAUUCUGUAUGUUUCUCUGUUGACUGUUUAUCCAAUUUGUCUCUUUUGUGUGUACGCAGAUGUUUGUAAGAUAUGAAAAAGGAUUCUACUUUGGACGCUUUUGAAUAAAAAGAUUUUACUAUAAAGUCAAUU
This is a long non-coding RNA of Sphaeramia orbicularis (orbiculate cardinalfish), 287 nucleotides long. RefSeq lists it as uncharacterized. NCBI's taxonomy places the organism in Eukaryota, Metazoa, Chordata, Actinopteri, Kurtiformes, Apogonidae. The transcript has 3 exons. The record is from RefSeq and is a predicted model, not a curated record.